GAUUUGAAACUAUCAGUUGAAAUUCUUCAAGAAUCGAGUAUUUAUCCCUAAGUUCCUAAAGAUCGAGAUCGAUCAAGACAAAUUGUUAGUAUCAAGAUCAAAGUAAUCCAAGAAUCCCCUUAUAGGAGACUCCGAAUCCUCUCGACUUGAAGUAAUAACCUUAGUCGUUGCCCAAGGUGGAGUUUCCACUUCGAACUCGA
Molecule: long non-coding RNA, 200 nt
Filed under: Elaeis guineensis (African oil palm)
Lineage: Eukaryota; Viridiplantae; Streptophyta; Magnoliopsida; Arecales; Arecaceae
Description: long non-coding RNA (EGUI_LNC009299)
Source: RNAcentral